AGAGUUUUAAGUUAUGUUAAGACUAAAGUAUUUCAAGUACUGAAGAGGGAUGUUUCUCAUACUCUG
Molecule: transfer RNA, 66 nt
Filed under: Meretrix lyrata
Lineage: Eukaryota; Metazoa; Mollusca; Bivalvia; Venerida; Veneridae
Description: tRNA-Trp
Source: RNAcentral